This is a long non-coding RNA of Erigeron canadensis, 459 nucleotides long. RefSeq lists it as uncharacterized. The transcript is spliced from 3 exons. NCBI's taxonomy places the organism in Eukaryota, Viridiplantae, Streptophyta, Magnoliopsida, Asterales, Asteraceae. The record is from RefSeq and is a predicted model, not a curated record.
AUUCCAAGACGAAUUAAGAAAAACUGUGCCAGUAAAGAAGACAACUAGUCCGAAAUGGCAGAAAGAGUUUACAUUUAUGUUGGAACAGCGACCAACGGACCAAAAACUGCAUUUGGAAGUCAUUAGUUUUCCUUGGAAGGGAAUAAUAUAUCGAAAGGAAGAAUCAAUGGGAUAUAUUGAUAUAAAGGCUAUUGAUGUUGUGAAGCAAAGACGGAUCAGCAAAACAUACCGUCUUCUGAAUGUAAGACAUGGUUGGCUUAUGGUGGAGUUGCAAUGGAGAUCGUCUAAAUAGAUUACCACCGGUAUUGACAGUCAUUGAUAGCAGCCACGUUUAUCAUCGUAUUUCUUGACUAAAUGAUCACCAUGUCAAGUUAUUUUAUCAAACUGACAAAGUAUUGGGAUCAUGUCUUAGAUUUUUUUGUUCAUGAUCAAUUCACAAUUUUCAUUUUCCUAAUUUAA